Long non-coding RNA from Octopus bimaculoides (California two-spot octopus), 2921 nucleotides. RefSeq lists it as uncharacterized. The record is from RefSeq and is a predicted model, not a curated record. NCBI's taxonomy places the organism in Eukaryota, Metazoa, Mollusca, Cephalopoda, Octopoda, Octopodidae.
UUUUGUGAUGUGCGUGAUCCCCUAUCCGUGGAAAAAUUGUCUGUAUGAAACUAGUUGGUGGGGCGAAAAACGUUAGAGGUCGCUAUAGUAGAGAGAAUCGAGAAGUCAUAGGCGACAAGUGUACACGGGGCAACAACUGCACGAACACUCGGUGGUGCUGAAAGGAAAACAAAAGCAAAAAAAGAAAAAAAAUGUGGAAUUUCAACUAUGAGACGUUGAAUGUGGAGAAUGCACAGGUGAGCGAAGGAGCGGCCACUCCACUUGACAGCAGUAUCAUAGAUAGCGCAGUUAGGAAUAUCAGGCCCAAAAAGUAGCUGUUCCAUUUGAAAUCGUGUAUGUGAUGUUUAAAAUAUCUGGCGAAGUAAGAUUCAGACACCUUGAUCGCCACAUUUAAUUACAUAAAGGCAAAGGUAUCAACAUAUGAAAGAAUAUCAUACGUACAACUGUGGUAUCUGUAUCCGUGUAUUCUAGGAUCCCUGUUAUUGGUUAAUGGCCUUAUUUCCUUCCUGGUUAUACCCAUCAUCGCCACCACAUCACCUUUCGCCUCGCUACUACCUCUCAUUCUCUCCUUCACUAUUACCACUAUAAAACAGACGCUCCAUCACCACUACCAUUUCCCCCGGGGGUCAACGCAAUCGCCUGUUCCUAUAUUCAUUAUCACCACCAUCGCCACUGCCAUUAGCACUAACGCUAAGUCCAUUACUAUGAUCGCUAUCAUCAAUCACCACAAACCCUGUCUUCACUAUCUUUGACCCCAUGUACACCACAACAUCCCCACUCCUUUAGCCCCCACCCCGUUACAAACAUUACAAACCUAGAAUAGCUUUCUCUCUGUGUGUCUUUCUACCUAGGUUCUCUGUAUAACUAGCUAUACUAAAUUACAAACCACAAGUAGGUUUUGAUCCUAUUUUAUUGGACUCAUGGCUAUAGAUUAAAGGUGUGUAUGUAUUUACGCUUACAUGUAUAUGUGUGUGUAUGUAUGUAUGUAUGUAUGUACGUACGUACGUAUGUAUUUAUGUAUAUAUGUAUGUGAACCGUAUCUAACAUUUAACUACUUCAUACAGACAACGCAAUCACCUUAAGUUUGCACUAUAUACUUUGACAAAAGUAAUACUACCAAAUAGCCAGUCAUUAUGAAUAACAGUACCCACUGUUAAGCCACCACUAAAACCGCCAUCUCUGCUGUAUUAACUCCAGUACCACCCAACCAUCACCACCACCACCGCCGCCGCCACCACCUUACUAUCAACAUCACUGCGAGUAUUAUCACAUUAAGAUUGUCAGCAGAAACCGACACACACACACCACCACCACCGUUAGAAGUACCGCUACUAUGGCCAUCACUACACCAAUGCUAUUCCACCACCUCCACCCCUAACAUCUCUCUACUACAAACAUCAUCAGUUUCCAACCAUUGAAUAACUUACUGCAGAUUCCUUUACAAGCAACUAACAGUAAUAUUGGUCGAAGUGAAUGCUUUUCUCUCAUAUCAAGACAGACAUCUCUAAGUAACAAUUGAAUAAUAUUCUGGGCAGGUGACAGAUACAGAAUUUCAUACCUGAUCAACCCAUACAAUAUUCAAUUACUGGAGCAGCCAAUACUCAAUGAAACCCACAAGUUUUUUCUAUCUGAAUAUAAUAAUCCAGUGAUGGAGACAAGGAAUGACUACAUUGAUAAAUUUAGUCAUUAACUAGAAAUACUCAGUAAAAUCCCACAAUUACUAGCCAAUACAUGCAAAAGGAAUACUUCUAUGUAUACAACUAUUUUAUUUUAAAACAUAUAUUGUCUUACAAAAACAGAGGUUAAUUUAAUGAAUACAAUUAAUUUAAUGAAAACAGAAAAAGCAUGAAAUCUGGGAGAAAAUAUUUUCAGUUGACUGAACCAAGGAUAUCAGAAUAUCUCUCUUACUCUGAAGUGGUGUAAUAUCAUCCUUACCAGAGUAAUAUUGCCUUCAUCUUCAAAACUUAGAAAUACUAUAAUUUAACUGAAGAAUUAUGUUGCAACAGAUAUAUGAAUUCAAACAGAACUCACUGAGAAUACACAACAACAAAAAAGAUAAAAGCAGCAAUUAUCAUUAAUGACAUAAUUUUCCAUUGAUUUUUAAUUUCUUUUAUUUGCCACAAUUGCAAGAUGUUUAUAAAAUAGAAUGACACAUUUGUUUUGACAUUUAAGAUUUAUAUAACAAUAAAAAUCAUAAUAAUUUGGGAUAUUGUAUUUAUUUUCAAGCAUUCAUAAAGACUCUAGCUUUCAUAUUUCCUCCUCUAUAGAAAAAUGCCACUCCUUCACCGGAUUCUUCGAGAUAACAUAGAAAUGGCCGUAUCUACUUUAUCAUCUCUAAAUCAAACUGUUCCUGUCGUUGGGAAUGUAAACAUACCAAUCAUACGGAAUCUCAACAACACAUCUACAGAUUCAGGAAUACUGAACACCUCUGUGGACAAUUCCCUUACUUCAGGGCAAAUUAAAAUGAGUGAGUUACUAAUCAUCAAAGUAGUAGUGCUCGUUGGUGUUGUUAGUAUCUUGCUGUUAUCAUCUUGCCGUUUUGUCUUUAAAAUGUUUUCUCGUUACAUAACGGACAGUAAAGAUGACAGGGAUCUUUCUUUUGGAUAAAUACUUUGCUCAGUAUCCCAUCACCAUAGCCAUUCCUAAUAUCACUGCAAAACCCUUCUUCAAUUUGACUGAACUUUUGAAUAAAUUCUCCAGAAGAAAAAAAGAAAUAACUGGUUGAAUAUUUUCACAAAAAACUAACUGAAAUAUAAAUAUCUUCCCUAUCCUUUCUAAUUGCUUAGUUCUCAAUAUUUUUUUCUGCUGCAGAAAUAGAGACUAAAUUUUAAAUUAAAAGAAAAGUUUAGGAUAUAUCCAUUAUUUUUUUAAAGAAUUUUAUUCACAGUUUUGAAAUAAAGAAAGAAAAUGUUUGACUCUGA